RNAcentral lists this ribosomal RNA (253 nucleotides) under uncultured bacterium. RNAcentral describes it as "partial 16S ribosomal RNA". It matches the Rfam family "Bacterial small subunit ribosomal RNA", at positions 524 to 776 of the family's 1533-position model. The record is from RNAcentral.
CACGUAGGAGGCGAGCGUUGUCCGGAAUCAUUGGGCGUAAAGAGCGCGCAGGCGGCCCGGCAAGUCGGGUGUGAAAUCCCGGGGCUCAACCCCGGGACUGCAUUCGAUACUGCCGGGCUAGAGGUAGGUAGGGGAGAUCGGAAUUCCUGGUGUAGCGGUGAAAUGCGUAGAUAUCUGGAGGAGUACCGGUGGCGAAGGCGGCAUCCUGGACCGGCAUUGACGCUGAGGAGCGAAAGCCAGGGGAGCAAACGGG